RNAcentral lists this small RNA (68 nucleotides) under Acididesulfobacillus acetoxydans. Its description in RNAcentral is "Peptococcaceae bacterium INE non-coding RNA". Lineage: Bacteria; Bacillati; Bacillota; Clostridia; Eubacteriales; Peptococcaceae. The record is from RNAcentral.
GUUUCAAUUCCUCAUAGGCAGGCUAUCGGCACUUAGGCUCAUCAGUUCCUAAAGUUAUAUCCUUCCAG